CCUACGGGCGGCAGCAGUGGGGAAUAUUGGACAAUGGGCGAAAGCCUGAUCCAGCCAUGCCGCGUGUGUGAAGAAGGCCUUCGGGUUGUAAAGCACUUUCAGUGGGGAAGAAAGCCUUGGGGCUAAUACCCUCGAGGAAGGACAUCACCCACAGAAGAAGCACCGGCUAACUCCGUGCCAGCAGCCGCGGUAAUACGGAGGGUGCGAGCGUUAAUCGGAAUUACUGGGCGUAAAGCGCGCGUAGGCGGUCUGAUAAGCCGGUUGUGAAAGCCCCGGGCUCAACCUGGGAACGGCAUCCGGAACUGUCAGGCUAGAGUGCAGGAGAGGAAGGUAGAAUUCCCGGUGUAGCGGUGAAAUGCGUAGAGAUCGGGAGGAAUACCAGUGGCGAAGGCGGCCUCCUGGACUGACACUGACGCUGAGGUGCGAAAGCGAGGGUAGCAAACAGGAUUAGAUACCCCGGUAGUC
This 465-nucleotide ribosomal RNA is filed under the name Vreelandella stevensii. RNAcentral describes it as "partial 16S ribosomal RNA". It matches the Rfam family "Bacterial small subunit ribosomal RNA", at positions 338 to 795 of the family's 1533-position model. The record is from RNAcentral. Lineage: Bacteria; Pseudomonadati; Pseudomonadota; Gammaproteobacteria; Oceanospirillales; Halomonadaceae.